Molecule: ribosomal RNA, 357 nt
Filed under: uncultured bacterium
Lineage: Bacteria
Description: partial 16S ribosomal RNA
Rfam family: Bacterial small subunit ribosomal RNA
Source: RNAcentral
AUACGUAGGUGGCAAGCGUUGUCCGGAAUUAUUGGGCGUAAAGCGCAUGUAGGCGGUUUGGUAAGUCGGUCGUGAAAAUGCGGUGCUUAACGCCGUAUGGCGAUUGAAACUGCUGAACUUGAGUGCAGGAGAGGAAAGGGGAACUCCCAGUGUAGCGGUGAAAUGCGUAGAUAUUGGGAAGAACACCGGUGGCGAAGGCGCCUUUCUGGACUGUGUCUGACGCUCAGAUGCGAAAGCCAGGGUAGCGAACGGGAUUAGAUACCCCGGUAGUCCUGGCCGUAAACGAUGGGUACUAGGUGUGGGAGGUAUCGACUCCUUCCGUGCCGGAGUUAACGCAAUAAGUACCCCGCCUGGGGA